This 73-nucleotide transfer RNA is filed under the name Rubripirellula obstinata. RNAcentral describes it as "Planctomycete LF1 tRNA". It matches the Rfam family "tRNA". From Rfam's summary of the family: Transfer RNA (tRNA) molecules are approximately 80 nucleotides in length. Their secondary structure includes four short double-helical elements and three loops (D, anti-codon, and T loops). Lineage: Bacteria; Pseudomonadati; Planctomycetota; Planctomycetia; Pirellulales; Pirellulaceae. The record is from Rfam by way of RNAcentral.
GCCCCCUUCGUCUAGCGGCCCAGGACGUCGGGCUUCUCAGCCCGAAACGCUCGUUCGAAUCGGGCAGGGGGUA